Molecule: ribosomal RNA, 253 nt
Filed under: uncultured bacterium
Lineage: Bacteria
Description: partial 16S ribosomal RNA
Rfam family: Bacterial small subunit ribosomal RNA
Source: RNAcentral
UACGUAGGGGGCUAGCGUUGUCCGGAAUCAUUGGGCGUAAAGAGCGUGUAGGCGGCCCGGUAAGUCCGCUGUAAAAGUCAAAGGCUCAACCUUUGAAUGUCAGUGGAUACUGCCGGGCUAGAGUCCGGAAGAGGCGAGUGGAACUCCUGGUGUAGCGGUGGAGUGCGCAGAUAUCAGGAAGAACACCAACGGCGAAGGCAGCUCGCUAGGACGGUACUGACGCUGAGACGCGAAAGCGUGGGGAGCGAACAGG